RNAcentral lists this transfer RNA (69 nucleotides) under Ictidomys tridecemlineatus (thirteen-lined ground squirrel). RNAcentral's name for it is "Spermophilus tridecemlineatus (thirteen-lined ground squirrel) tRNA". It matches the Rfam family "tRNA". Rfam says of the family: Transfer RNA (tRNA) molecules are approximately 80 nucleotides in length. Their secondary structure includes four short double-helical elements and three loops (D, anti-codon, and T loops). The record is from Rfam by way of RNAcentral. Lineage: Eukaryota; Metazoa; Chordata; Mammalia; Rodentia; Sciuridae.
AGUGUUGUGGCUUGAAGGUAAAGCGCUCGCCUACCAUGCGUGAGGCACCAGGUUCAAUCCUCAGCACCA